UGCCUAGCAACACCUAUCCCUACCUCCUCGUGGUACUGGCCGGGGUACGAGUAACCUUGGGGAAGAUCGGGUAACCAACCCUGGUGGGAACUUUGGUCCUAUGCUGACAGGGAAGG
Molecule: ribozyme, 116 nt
Filed under: Aedes aegypti (yellow fever mosquito)
Lineage: Eukaryota; Metazoa; Arthropoda; Insecta; Diptera; Culicidae
Description: drz-agam-1 ribozyme
Rfam family: drz-agam-1 ribozyme
Source: Rfam by way of RNAcentral